CAAGAGCUCAUUCAAGUCUUCAACCACCUUGAAGAAAAUCAGAAAAGCUUUCUUCGUAUUGUGUAAAGUGUAUUUAAAAUUUUAUUUGCUCAUUAAAGGAGCUAAAUUUGUAUUUUCGUGUGAUUAACUCAUAUACUCUAUUUUGUCUUGAUUUUUAGUUUUGAAAGGGUUCCAAAACUUGAAAGGUUAGUCCGAAUCUUGAAUCAGAUUGUAUUGGGUUGGCUUGUACCCGAGAAACAAGUGUUCUAGCUUGAAAUAGCUAGAGUCGGAGGUACCGACGUUGUAUUCUUGUUGAAUACGAUUUAGUGUAUUUGAAUUCCCAAGUACGAGCUUGGAGAGUGGAUGUAAGUGCAAGGUUGGCAUCGAACCACUAUAAAUCUUGAUUGUUUGUGGUGUGCUUACUUGCUCUCUUCCUAAAUUUAUUUACUUUCUUGCAUUCUUGCAUCUUAUUGCUACACUUUGCUUAAAUCACUCACUACAUAUAACUUGCUUAGUAUUACUUAAUCCUUGUGGUUCUAAAUUAACUUUAAAAUUUUAAAAAUCCAAUUCACCCCCCCCUCUUGGGUUGCAUAGCUGGGGAACAAAUGGUAUCAAAGCUCGGUGCUCUAGUCUUUUUUUGAUUUAACCGUUAAAGAGCCAAAGAUCUAUGGCAACUCAAGUUGAUGCUUCACUAGCCGAGGGGCAGUCCACAAACCGACC
Molecule: long non-coding RNA, 699 nt
Filed under: Elaeis guineensis (African oil palm)
Lineage: Eukaryota; Viridiplantae; Streptophyta; Magnoliopsida; Arecales; Arecaceae
Description: long non-coding RNA (EGUI_LNC067544)
Source: RNAcentral